CCUACGGGAGGCAGCAGUGAGGAAUAUUGGUCAAUGGACGAGAGUCUGAACCAGCCACGUAGCGUGACGGAUGACUGCCCUAUGGGUUGUAAACUUCUUUUAUAUGGGAAUAAAAUGUUCCACGUGUGGGAUUUUGUACGUACCAUAUGAAUAAGGCUCGGCUAACUCCGUGCCAGCUGCCGCGGUAAUACGGAGGAUCCGAACGUUAGCCGGAUUUAUUGGGGUUAAAGGGAUCGUAGGUGGAUUGUUAAGUCAGUUGUGAAAGUUUGCGGCUAAACAGUAAAAUUGCAGUUGAAACUGGCAGUCUUGAGUACAGUAGAGGUGAGCGGAAUUCGUGGUGUAGCGGUGAAAGGCUUAGAUAUCACGAAGAACUCCGAUUGCGAAGGCAGCUCACUGGACUGCAACUGACACUGAGGCUCGAAAGUGUAGGUAGCAAACAGGAUUAGAUACCCGAGUAGUC
This 460-nucleotide ribosomal RNA is filed under the name uncultured bacterium. RNAcentral describes it as "partial 16S ribosomal RNA". It matches the Rfam family "Bacterial small subunit ribosomal RNA", at positions 338 to 795 of the family's 1533-position model. The record is from RNAcentral.